Long non-coding RNA from Neofelis nebulosa (Clouded leopard), 705 nucleotides. RefSeq lists it as uncharacterized. The record is from RefSeq and is a predicted model, not a curated record. The transcript has 3 exons. NCBI's taxonomy places the organism in Eukaryota, Metazoa, Chordata, Mammalia, Carnivora, Felidae.
GCGCGCUGUCCGGGCCGCCGCGAGCGCGAGAAGGGGCGUGAGCGAGCGCGGGCCGGCGGCGCGCUCCAGGCGCAGACUGCCCAGAACGCGCGCCGAGCGCUAGCGCGGGACAGACAGCCACCUAGGGGCGGGAAGCUCCGGGCACAGUUGCCGGCCCGCGCGCCUCUAGCUCACCUGCCGCCUGGCCAGAGAGGGGUGGACUGUAUGGCAAGGUGAAGUGGCGAGGCCGCGAGUCGCCUCCGUGAAGCUCUAGGCUUGCGGGGCACAGGCAGAGGGAAAGUUCAAAAUUGGGCUGCUGUGAUGGAUUGAUGAGACAGGAGACUGUCACGGCCGAGCGGAGGAGCCGGCAGAAAGAUGGUAGGAAGACGAAAAAUCCGGAGGACAACCACAAUCCCAGUCACGGCUGCCCCUAGAGAGUUCAAGAUCCACCUCCCUUUACCGACAAUCUACAUGAUUCCAGGAGCAGAGCAUCCACCGCCAGGUGCCCACAACAGGACUGACUCCAGACUCCAGCUGAUUGGUACAGGGUAGGUAGUGGCAUGAUUCACAUCCUAUUCUACAAAAUGUUGUGCUCCAUGGGUGCAUUUUGAAUAGAAAACAGGAUGAAUGGCAAUCUCUAGAGUUGUCCAACUUAAUUGAACUCGGCACUUGACUGAAGUAGGCUACUCAUAGUCUUUCCUCAAGAUUCUGGAAUUAAAUCUAGGA